UUUGUAGUGGCAGAAAAAUGCAUAGACUUUAAGCGUCUAAGAUGUUCCAGGAGCCUACAAAA
Molecule: transfer RNA, 62 nt
Filed under: Physidae sp. P3S_19
Lineage: Eukaryota; Metazoa; Mollusca; Gastropoda; Physidae
Description: tRNA-Leu
Source: RNAcentral